GACGUAGGGGGCGAGCGUUGUCCGGAUUUAUUGGGCGUAAAGCGUGCGUAGGCGGCUGCGCAAGUCGGUUGUGAAACCCCGGGGCUCAACCCCGGAACUGCAUCCGAUACUGCGUGGCUAGAGGUAGGUAGGGGAGAUCGGAAUUCCUGGUGUAGCGGUGAAAUGCGCAGAUAUCAGGAGGAACACCGGUGGCGAAGGCGGGUCUCUGGGCCGAUACUGACGCUGAGGAGCGAAAGCAUGGGUAGCGAACAGG
This 253-nucleotide ribosomal RNA is filed under the name uncultured bacterium. RNAcentral describes it as "partial 16S ribosomal RNA". It matches the Rfam family "Bacterial small subunit ribosomal RNA", at positions 524 to 776 of the family's 1533-position model. The record is from RNAcentral.